Molecule: transfer RNA, 74 nt
Filed under: Jatropha curcas
Lineage: Eukaryota; Viridiplantae; Streptophyta; Magnoliopsida; Malpighiales; Euphorbiaceae
Rfam family: tRNA
About the family: Transfer RNA (tRNA) molecules are approximately 80 nucleotides in length.
Source: Rfam by way of RNAcentral
GGGAGAAUAGUUUAGUCGGUUAAAGCAUGUGGCUAUUAGCCACAAGGUCAAAAGUUUAAUUCCUCCUUCUGGCA